RNAcentral lists this ribosomal RNA (460 nucleotides) under uncultured bacterium. RNAcentral's name for it is "partial 16S ribosomal RNA". It matches the Rfam family "Bacterial small subunit ribosomal RNA", at positions 338 to 795 of the family's 1533-position model. The record is from RNAcentral.
CCUACGGGGGACAGCAGUGAGGAAUCUUGGUCAAUGGCCGGAAGGCUGAACCAGCCAAGUCGCGUGCGGGAAUAAGGCCCUAUGGGUCGUAAACCUCUUUUGUCAGGGAGCACAGGCGUCCACGAGUGGACGAAAGGAGAGUACCUGAAGAAAAAGCAUCAGCUAACUCCGUGCCAGCAGCCGCGGUAAUACGGAGGAUGCGAGCGUUAUCCGGAUUUAUUGGGUUUAAAGGGUUCGUAGGCGGAGUGUCAAGUCAGCGGUAAAAUUUCGGGGCUCAACCCCGUCGUGCCGUUGAAACUGACACCCUUGAGUGAGUGAGAAGUAAGCGGAAUGCGUGGUGUAGCGGUGAAAUGCAUAGAUAUCACGCAGAACGCCGAUUGCGAAGGCAGCUUACCGGCGCUCAACUGACGCUGAGGCACGAAAGUGCGGGUAUCGAACAGGAUUAGAUACCCUAGUAGUC